GAUGGAUGUAUGGGGGGCGGGUCACCAAAGAUAAAUUCCUGAGACUUUUCCUUUUAUCUCGUUCUUUUCAUGGGAGACGCUGUCCGUGAAUGUUUGGUUCCGUCUUACAGGAAACCCUCUCCCAUGACAUUUUUCGGCUCCAAAAUGUUUGGCUGCUGUACUUUUUCCCCAAAUGUCGUCCCUUACUGCAUGUUGCACGUUUCGUGACAUGUAGAAGUACUUCAAAACAGCAAAAAAAUUGAAGUCCAAGCUUCUUCAUAGCAUUACACGUACUUGAUAGCUGCUGUGGAAUUAAGCUUAGUCUUUAAGAGGGUCUCUACUCUAAUAUAUUGUGAGACAAGAUUGUGAUAAUAGGAAAUCUGAAAUGGAAAUAAUGUACUCGUAGUAUACAUCAAGGAUUAGCAUUUUCCCUUAUAUUUGUCCAUGUUAUCAUGGACGGUUUGAUGAUUGAGCUGUUUUGUUGUGGAUGUUCGGGGUGCAGUGGUCCUUCAUUAGAGAUGCGUUGAAAUGGAGCUUGCGCAGACUUGUUAAUGAGUUUGUCCACCAGGGGGCAACUUCCUGGUGUUAGCAAAUUGGCAACAUGGGCAAGCUUUUUCCACUGACGUCAUUUCUAUUCCGGGCGCUGUCAGUUACGUGUUCGUGAUCAGUGCCGUCAAUUGUAACAUUCUUCUUCACAAAUAUCUUCAAGGUAUAUUAUACUAUAUUCAUAUUUUGAUACACCCCUUUUCUUGUCCUUUGGAGUAUUUUCCCUGAAGCUGGCUUUGUUGGAUGUUUCUUUUGAAGUAGGAAUUAUUGCUUGAUGAAGUCGAGCUUUUUCAAGCAGUCCAAUGUCCACUUAAAUUUUUUGCCGGUAAACCGUGUGGUGAACUGUUGUAUGAAGACCAUGUGCUGUUGUGAUGAGCUUCUAUGUGCAGUCUGUGGUGCUGUAUGCUGCCUGUAAAGUCUGGUGCAAGCUUGAAAUUUGAAGAACUCACUGCCUUAACAAUUGAGUGUUUGAAUCAUUGUAUAUUUGUUUCCAUAGUCAGUGAGUUUAUAUUGGUGGCUCUAUUUGGUUUGCAGUUCAUGUUUGGGUGGUUUUGUUGCAGCCAGCUGUUGGGAAGUAAGUUCAAUUUAAAGCUGAAGGUUCUGGAAGCUAUCUCCAUUGCUGGUGACAUCCUGACAUGACUUUGUGAUAAUGUGAUGCAUCUGCCUUGGUGACGAUGAUGUAUCAUCCUGUUGCAUGCAGUUACGUCGAAGCUAGGCUUAAAGUAUAGCUGAAAAAAAUAUUCAUAGAAAUGGAUGGUGAAAAUGUUAAGCGGUUUUGUAAUCUGGUUUCUUUUAAAGUUUGAAGUCUGGAUUGCGCUUAAGUCUUUGCAGUAACUGUUGUUGGAGUCCUUGCAGUAACUGUUGUUGGAGUCCUUGCUGAAGUCCUUGCAGUAAUUGAUGUUGGAGUCCUUGCAGUAACUGAUGUUGGAGCUAUCCUGACGCUGCUGUGCCAUUGAAAUUCAUUUUGAUAAAAAUAUUUAUAUUUGUUUGUGUUACAAAGUGUGUGUUGAUUGAAGCAACCUGAGUGUUUUUAUUCUCCGAUAUGAUAUGUUGCAACAAAAGUUAUAACUGGUUAUCCUAGAUGAUGAAAUUACCUCAACCCUAAUUAGAUCAUUUAAUAAUUGUAUAUCUUAACUCAAAUUUGCAAUUUUUGGGCAUGUUUGUAAAUUUAGUAUGAGAUCUAAUUUCAUUGUCUUAAUAGUUACAAUAAAUAAAAAAUAAUCAGAUAA
Long non-coding RNA from Daphnia pulex (common water flea), 1754 nucleotides. RefSeq lists it as uncharacterized. The transcript is spliced from 11 exons. The record is from RefSeq and is a predicted model, not a curated record. NCBI's taxonomy places the organism in Eukaryota, Metazoa, Arthropoda, Branchiopoda, Diplostraca, Daphniidae.